AGAGUUCUUCUAAUUGAAUGUUAUCAUAAAGAGGGAAUGGAGGGUUUGGAAGAGUGAGGGGGAGGAAUGAUUUUUUUUAUGGGCAGCUACUUUCCACCCCUACUCCAUUCUCUUCCACAGAGGGCCUGGCAAAGGGAACACUCUUCAAGGACUCAGGUCCUGUCUGCCAUGUCCCCAGCAACCAUCUGCCAACCAGUUUACCUGUGUGAGUGACUGCAGAAGCCCAGUGCCGGAGGCGAGCGAGCCUGGCUCACCUGCUUUGGGUCCUGGCACUGCAGCAGUUGAGCCGUGGUGGGGUGGCACCUGUGGCUGUGUCACCCCGGACCACUGUCCUUUAUCAGUGGAGCAUUUCUGGGUAUGAAGAUAUUCCAGGUCCUGAGCAACUUGAGGUCUGGGCAAGUCUGUCAGUGGAGAGUAGCCGUGGACUCAGCUAGUGAGGUUUCAGGGUUGGUAAAACACCAGACUUUUUGGAGGAGAGGCUAACAAAAUUUAACUAAUGGUCAUUUUCAGGGUUGGUAAAACACCGCAGACUUUUUGGAGGAGAGGCUAACAAAAUUUAACUAAUGGGUCAUUUUCACGGAAGGAAAGUAAAUGUGUGGCUUUGCAAAGAGACCAGUUCUAUUAUUUUUUGCUUAUACCCUAUUAAAACUAAAAAUUAGCAACUGUAUGGAUCCUGUAUCAGUAUGAGAUGUUGAACAGUUCUGGAAAUACGUGCAUAAGUCAAAGCCUAUUUAGCAAGCGGGUUAAUACUGUUUAUUAGAUAAAACAUUGUUUUAUAGCAGGUAUUAACACAUUCACAAUGUUUCAGUUCAACUGUAAGUGACACAGUAUUGUUUUUCACACCCAGUUCAGUUUCUAUGUAUAGCUUCUCUGAAUUGUACAAUGACUUCAUUCAGUGACCUGUGGAGAACAAAAAUAUUUUUUGUCCCAGUGAAAUGAGACUGCUUGUACACUUUUGGCAAAAAUAUGUGAGUUUAU
This 978-nucleotide long non-coding RNA is filed under the name Bos taurus (domestic cattle). Its description in RNAcentral is "long non-coding RNA NONBTAT001256". The record is from RNAcentral. Lineage: Eukaryota; Metazoa; Chordata; Mammalia; Artiodactyla; Bovidae.